Molecule: ribosomal RNA, 262 nt
Filed under: uncultured bacterium
Lineage: Bacteria
Description: partial 16S ribosomal RNA
Rfam family: Bacterial small subunit ribosomal RNA
Source: RNAcentral
UGGGGAAUCUUCCGCAAUGGGCGCAAGCCUGACGGAGCAACGCCGCGUGAGUGAUGACGUCCUUCGGGUCGUAAAACUCUGUCUUGGGGGAAGAAACAAAUGACGGUACCCCAGAAGGAAGCCCCGACCAACUACGUUCCAGCAGCCGCGGUAAAACGCACGGGGCUAGCGUUUUCCGGAAUUACUGGGCGUAAAGGGCGUGUAGGCGGCCUACGUAGUCAGGGGUGAAAUACCGCAGCUCAAAGGCGGGCCUGCCUCUGAA